AUAGUCAAAGCAUAUGGAAACCAUAUAAAUAAACAAGAGUUUCAAUAAAAGAGAGUAUCAAAAGAUUACAUUGUUUCCCCCCAACAACAAUAGGGUUUAGUUCACCAUUGUCAUGGUGAAUCUAGAUGAAAAAUGGAUGAAGAAUGGAAAAGCAAACCCUAGAUAAGAAGAAAUGGAGCCUAAGCUUCCAAGAGAUCCUCUCCAGAG
Molecule: long non-coding RNA, 207 nt
Filed under: Vigna radiata
Lineage: Eukaryota; Viridiplantae; Streptophyta; Magnoliopsida; Fabales; Fabaceae
Description: long non-coding RNA (VRAD_LNC010018)
Source: RNAcentral